UCAGGACCGCGACGGCAGCAGAGCAUUGUCAUAAAUUAACAUUAAUGAUGAGUAAAGAUGGAGCAGCGAGCAUUGACCGUCACCUGCAGGGUGAGAUUGCAGUAAAAUAGGUGAGUAAAAAGUCCACCUAUUAUCCUGACACUUGUCCUCUUUACAGAAAACUGUAACGUGAGCAAUACUAUACAUGUAGUGUGACUCCAAAAAUAAAAAAUAAAACAAACAACAACAACAACAACAAAAAAACAAUGACCAGUUACCCGAUACCUCUGGCAACUUAGAACAAUCAAGUUGUGAGUUAUAGAAGAUGUAAAUUGCAACUUGUAACUCGCUAUAACAUAAAUGUCUCUGUUACCCCCAUGUGAAAUACAGAAAUGCUUCAACAAUUAGAUGGUUUUUUCUUUAAAUCAGAAAUGCUUUAACAGUUCAAUGAAAUAUAAUUCUGAUCAAAGAAGUUCCUCAAGUAUUCUUAGAUGAUAAAACAAAUUAUUUUUGAAAGCUAAGGUGAUUUGCUAUCCGUUAUUUUUUCCCCUUUAAAUAGCACAUGUUGCCCUUAAUCAAAUGGAAGAAUCAUGACAACUUGGCCUUUUAUGAAAGUAUUUUUUACAAGAUAAGACGUAUUCUGUGAGGCAUUUAAAGGACUGCAGAAAGGAGAAAAAUGGGUGUUAAGGGCAGAAAUCUUUACUAGACUGGAGAGGAGAAAGAGACAAACACCCAAUAUACUUGUUCUUCUUGGGCUAAGCCUGUCCUAGCAGAGGACCUAAAACCUGGGACAUUUCGAUGCAUACUUCUUUGAAAAG
RNAcentral lists this long non-coding RNA (797 nucleotides) under Homo sapiens (human). Its description in RNAcentral is "HSALNT0243933". Lineage: Eukaryota; Metazoa; Chordata; Mammalia; Primates; Hominidae. The record is from RNAcentral.